This 443-nucleotide ribosomal RNA is filed under the name uncultured bacterium. RNAcentral describes it as "partial 16S ribosomal RNA". It matches the Rfam family "Bacterial small subunit ribosomal RNA", at positions 338 to 795 of the family's 1533-position model. The record is from RNAcentral.
CCUACGGGUGGCAGCAGUGGGGAAUAUUGGGCAAUGGAGGCAACUCUGACCCAGCAACGCCGCGUGAAUGAUGAAGGUCUUCGGAUUGUAAAGUUCUGUGAUGGGGGAUGAACACAAUGACGGUACCCCAAUAGCAAGCCACGGCUAACUACGUGCCAGCAGCCGCGGUAAUACGUAGGUGGCAAGCGUUAUCCGGAUUUACUGGGUGUAAAGGGCGUGCAGCCGGGAAGACAAGUCAGAUGUGAAAUCCCGCGGCUCAACCGCGGAACUGCAUUUGAAACUGUUUUUCUUGAGUACCGGAGAGGUCAUCGGAAUUCCUUGUGUAGCGGUGAAAUGCGUAGAUAUAAGGAAGAACACCAGUGGCGAAGGCGGAUGACUGGACGGCAACUGACGGUGAGGCGCGAAAGCGUGGGGAGCAAACAGGAUUAGAUACCCCUGUAGUC